UGCAACUUCAAAACGCAGCCUCUCUUCCCACUUGAGAUUGGAAAGAGGGCACUAUUUCAUAUUUUUUGCAAAACGUUUCAAAUAUUGGAGCCUCCGUAAAAUGCUGUUCCUGGCACCAUGCAGGGGACGGCGGGGGGUGGGGGGGGGAGUGGUAAUGGGCAAACCCUUCCUGGGGAAAAGAGUGCGUGUUUCUUUGCAGCGAUACGGGGUCUGAGCACGCCAGGGCUUCUGAGCAAGGCUGCCCUUAAGGGCUCUGACUUGCCCGCCCCAUGGGCCAAAGCUUGCUGUAAGCCCCAGCCGUUUACUAUGCACAGACAAAAAAGGAAAUUCACGAGCACAGAGAAUGUCAAGUGUAUGGUUGCUGCCAAGAACCAGAGCCAGAUCCUCCUGGCUGUCUCCGAGGCUUCUCCUUGGCCUGUCCUCGUUCACGAGGGUGGAGCACCACCAGGUCUGCACCCAUGAAUGCUGCAGGUGCCUGCUGAUCAACUGAGGAAUGGCUCUGGCUUAGGGACCUUCUGCUCUAGAAUGCAAGGCAUCUCCUGGGGCAGGGGGAGCCAGGUGGGGCUGAGGAGACCAACCUGAAGCCAACCAAGCUAGAGCGCCCCCCCCCCCCAGCUUCCUGUCCUCAGAGCACCUCGGGGCAUUUGUGAAGCUCAUUAGUGCAGCAGCGAUUAAUAUGGGGCCCAGAGCAGGACUUCCCCCUGCCAGGGAGGCCGCAAAGCUCCAGAACAUUCCAGGGAGGAAUGGAGCACCACCCAGGCCUGGCCUCCCGGGGCUGCAAAGCAAUCCCUAAUGAGUCCUCUCCCGGGGAGGGUGAAGUCACCUGCAAACAGGCAGCUCAGCCUCAGGUGUUCUCCGCGAGGCUUAAAAUAGCCGGCUCCCUUCGCAAGCACCUUCCAGCACUGUUUAGGAAGGCGAAUGCCAGGAAACUAAUGAAUCUGAGCUUAGUGAAUUAAUUGUUGAUGAAAUAAUAUGAAUAGUGCGCUUCCUGUUCAUCAGUCUCUACAGAAAUUAAUUAGCCCCACUUGGCAGCAAGCAGGAUCAAAUUUUCAACUUAAUUUAUGAUUUUGGCCAAAUUGUCUAUGGGAAGCCUUGCCUGGAGGACCUUCCGUGGCUGCUUCGUGUCCGGACAGGCCUUGCCUUUCAUAGAAGACAUGACUGCUGUAAAAGCCCCAACAAGAGAAGAGGGGAGGGGACGAGGAGGUGCGGGGGGGGGAGGUAGGGGUAAGAAGGGGGGGAGCGGGGAGGUUCACACUUAGCCUGUGAGGCUCCAAGAAGAUUCCAGGUUCCCACAUCUCCUCGCUGCCUCUGCCCUCCCCUACUUAGAGAAGAGGGAUGGCCCAGCAGUGGGGCUGACUUGGGAGCUCAUUGUUCUGAGCUGUGUGCACUCCCCCCAACUGCAGGAUGAUAUGAAAGAAAAUACUAUGAGAAGUGGUUUGGGGGGUGCACUGUUGUAAAGUAGGGCGCAGGGCACUUCUUGGGCCUGGGGGACCCAUCCAAGGACCUGGCUGUCAUGAGAUGUGCAUUUAGCACCUCGGUCCCGUGUGCCCCAGAACAGAGCCCAGAGGAACUCAGCUUUCGUCACCCAGGGGUUGGGGGUGAAGAGGGGCAGGCUCUGACUGCACCAGUUGCUGACAAGAACCCCAAGCAGGCUGCCCCCACCCCAGGGCAGCCGAGAAUCGGAUGUGAACCUGGAAACAGACUUCCAAAUGAUGCCAGCCUCUGAAACAUUUCCGGGACGCGAAUGCGCGCGCGUGUGUCCAUAUGCUCUUGUUCUGAAAACACCAGCUUUCUCAGGGAAAAGCCUGUGAACUGCUGAGUUAAAACGUGCGUGAGAUUAAGAGGAUGUGUUCCAGUCAAAGCCAGAAACUUUGGGGCGCCUGGGUGGCUCAGUGGUUAAGCAUCUGCCUUCGGCUCAGGUCAUGAUCCCAGGGUUCUGAGAUCAAGCCCUGCAUCGGGCUCCCUGCUCAGCGGGAAGCCUGCUUCUCCCUCUCCUGCUCCCCCUGCUUGUGUACCCUCUCUCACUGUCUGUCA
Molecule: long non-coding RNA, 2034 nt
Filed under: Mustela putorius furo (domestic ferret)
Lineage: Eukaryota; Metazoa; Chordata; Mammalia; Carnivora; Mustelidae
Description: lncRNA (ENSMPUG00000024318.1)
Source: RNAcentral